Molecule: long non-coding RNA, 245 nt
Filed under: Mytilus galloprovincialis (Mediterranean mussel)
Lineage: Eukaryota; Metazoa; Mollusca; Bivalvia; Mytilida; Mytilidae
Source: RNAcentral
GCCUGUUGUUAUUGAAGAGUCGAGCAAAUGUAUACCAAAAAGCAAUUGUUUUAUAAAAAAGGGGUGGGGAAGAAAGACAAAAUACGCAUGUGGUUAAAUCAUGUGUAACUAAUUGUUGCGUAAAUUGUAAUUGGUUAUACGCCAAGUAUAGUAUGCAUUUAGCAAAAAAAAUUAAAGUAUCGUCAACCUGGUACCCUGGUUUCAUACGUAGACUGGGAUGUUCGUUAGCAAAAAUGCACUUUAUC